AGAGUUUGAUCCUGGCUCAGGACGAACGCUGGCGGGCAGCUACACAUGCAAGUCGACGAUGAUGCCCAGCUUGCUGGGUGGAUUAGUGGCGAACGGGUGAGUAACACGUGAGUAACCUGCCCCUGACUCUGGGAUAAGCGUUGGAAACGACGUCUAAUACUGGAUAUGACCGCCGAUCGCAUGGUCUGGUGGUGGAAAGAUUUUUUGGUUGGGGAUGGACUCGCGGCCUAUCAGCUUGUUGGUGAGGUAAUGGCUCACCAAGGCGACGACGGGUAGCCGGCCUGAGAGGGUGACCGGCCACACUGGGACUGAGACACGGCCCAGACUCCUACGGGAGGCAGCAGUGGGGAAUAUUGCACAAUGGGCGAAAGCCUGAUGCAGCAACGCCGCGUGAGGGAUGACGGCCUUCGGGUUGUAAACCUCUUUUAGUAGGGAAGAAGCGUAAGUGACGGUACCUGCAGAAAAAGCACCGGCUAACUACGUGCCAGCAGCCGCGGUAAUACGUAGGGUGCAAGCGUUGUCCGGAAUUAUUGGGCGUAAAGAGCUCGUAGGCGGUUUGUCGCGUCUGCUGUGAAAUCCCGAGGCUCAACCUCGGGCUUGCAGUGGGUACGGGCAGACUAGAGUGCGGUAGGGGAGAUUGGAAUUCCUGGUGUAGCGGUGGAAUGCGCAGAUAUCAGGAGGAACACCGAUGGCGAAGGCAGAUCUCUGGGCCGUAACUGACGCUGAGGAGCGAAAGCGUGGGGAGCGAACAGGAUUAGAUACCCUGGUAGUCCACGCCGUAAACGUUGGGCGCUAGAUGUAGGGACCUUUCCACGGUUUCUGUGUCGUAGCUAACGCAUAAGCGCCCCGCUGGGAGACCCGAAGGCUAAAACUCAAAUGAGAUUGACGGGG
Molecule: ribosomal RNA, 891 nt
Filed under: Curtobacterium ammoniigenes
Lineage: Bacteria; Bacillati; Actinomycetota; Actinomycetes; Micrococcales; Microbacteriaceae
Description: bacterial SSU rRNA
Rfam family: Bacterial small subunit ribosomal RNA
Source: RNAcentral